ACGUUUACGUUAUGCUCGUAGAUGUCGCCCAAGGAUGAGGCCGCGACCGAUCAGGUUGUUGGUGAGGUAAUGGCUCACCAAGCCUUUUACCGGUGCGGGCCGUGAGAGCGGGAGCCCGGAGAUGGGCACUGAGACAAGGGCCCAGGCCCUACGGGGCGCAGCAGUCGCGAAAACUUUGCAAUACACGAAAGUGUGACAGGGCUAUCCCGAGUGCCAUCCGCUGAGGAAGGCUUUUACCCAGUCUAGAACGCUGGGGGAAUAAGGAGAGGGCAAGUCUGGUGUCAGCCGCCGCGGUAAUACCAGCUCUCCGAGUGGUGUGGAUGUUUAUUGGGCCUAAAGCAUCCGUAGCUGGCUGAGUUAGUCCCUUGUUAAAUCCACCGAAUUAAUCGUUGGAUUGCGGGGGAUACUGCUCGGCUAGGGGACGAGAGAGGCAGACGGUAUUUCCGGGGUAGGGGUGAAAUCCUAUAAUCCCGGGAAGACCACCAGUGGCGAAGGCUGUCUGCUAGAACGCGCCCGACGGUGAGGGAUGAAAGCUGGGGGAGCGAACCGGAUUAGAUACCCGGGUAGUCCCAGCUGUAAACGAUGCAGGCUAGGUGUUUGGACGGCCACGUGCCGUUCUAGUGCCGCAGGGAAGCUGUUAAGCCUGCCGCCUGGGGAGUACGAUCGCAAGAUUGAAACUUAAAGGAAUUGGCGGGGGAGCACCACAAGGGGUGAAGCUUGCGGUUUAAUUGGAUUCAACGCCGGAAAUCGAAUUCCCGCG
This 760-nucleotide ribosomal RNA is filed under the name uncultured archaeon. Its description in RNAcentral is "bacterial SSU rRNA". It matches the Rfam family "Archaeal small subunit ribosomal RNA", at positions 175 to 937 of the family's 1478-position model. The record is from RNAcentral.